This 64-nucleotide ribosomal RNA is filed under the name uncultured Alphaproteobacteria bacterium. RNAcentral describes it as "partial 16S ribosomal RNA". Lineage: Bacteria; Pseudomonadati; Pseudomonadota; Alphaproteobacteria. The record is from RNAcentral.
CUUCAUCACUCACGCGGCAUCUGCUGCGAUCAGAGCUUGCCUCCCAUUGUGCCAAUAUUCCCCA